Long non-coding RNA from Oreochromis niloticus (Nile tilapia), 2330 nucleotides. RefSeq lists it as uncharacterized. The record is from RefSeq and is a predicted model, not a curated record. The transcript has 3 exons. NCBI's taxonomy places the organism in Eukaryota, Metazoa, Chordata, Actinopteri, Cichliformes, Cichlidae.
CAGGGAGUGGAUUUAGUGUGGGACUGGUGAACGGCGACCUACCGAGCAACGGAACUUUUGAGAAGUAUCAAAAAUUACUUUUUGGUACACAUCAGCUGGGAUAAGUGAUGGAUGGGGAAAUUUUGUACUGCAGACAGGAAUUACACCGCAGCUGGUCUGCGCCUGAAUCCGUUCCAACCCUGUGACAUCAUCAUCAUCAUCAUCAUCAUCAAUCAUUUUCUGUGUCACACUGUGAGACUUAUAGGGGACUAAUGGGGGACAUUGGUGUGUUAGUCAAGUUCCCCAAAGUAGCAUUCUUAUUUAUGCAGGUUAGGUUCACAGUCUGUUACCAUGGUAACUGAUUCAAUGUUCAAAGUAAAUCCUUUUGAAACCGAAAACAUGAGUUUUCUAUCAUUUUAGGGUUAGCAAACUCAGAGUUGUUAGCUAAACCUGCUUUCUGGAGUGGGACCUUGGAGCAGUUGGUCUACUUGGGCCCCUGAAUGGGCUUCAUGUGCUGCCUUAUGCUUAGUGUAAUAAGAACACUAGCAAAAAACAAAACUAAAGAAAAGUUAAGGGUAAGGAGAGUGCAGUGGUCUUUGGCCGCCUUUGUUCUGUUUUCAUGGCUCCUAAAAAGCUUAUUCAACUUCAGUGUCAGAAUUGAACCUUUUUUUUUUAUUUGUGCAGACUAUCCUUCAGUUGUGAUGACAACCAAUCAUCAACCUGACCUGUUAAGCCAACUGAAUCAUGAAGCCUUUGAACUUAAAUGUUGAGAUCAACUCUGUCAAAGGCAGCAGUGAGUUCUAGUAGAGCAAAAACUCUCCGUGAAUCUUCUUUAAGUCACUCAUAACUUUAUUAUCAACUUGUUCUGUGCUAUGAUUGGUACCUGAUAAGAAAUACUGAGAGUUACAAGAUAUUUAUUCAGUUGUUCAUAAAUAAUUUUUAAGUUAUUUAGCUGAGAAAAGCUAGAUUAGAAAUAGCUUUAUGUUUAUUAAUUACCAAUAGAUCUGAUUUAUUUAUUUAUUUAGUUAUUUAUUUAUCUCCUAGUGACUUGAGGUAUACAAUUCAUUCCAGUGAUAAUCCCUGUUACUCUGAUCAAUGUUGUUGCUGUAUCUUCAGGUCACCUCAUUUUAUGAAUCAGCAGCAAAAUGUAAAACUUUUAUUCAAUAAGGUUUCAACUGCAGAAAAUGUUAUGAGAGGUGGGGGACACCCUGGACCUCUCACCAGUCUAUCACAGAGACACAGAAAACUAUCCACAUCUGCACCUGAUAUAGAAUCAUUAGUUUCCCAAACCCAAUGUAUGUUUUUAGACAGUGGGGAUGAUGGAGCACUCAGUGAGCACACAUGCAAACUCCACCAGCUAGCUGAAGGAUUCAAACCCAGGACCUUCUUCAUGUGAGACAACAAUGCUGACCACGGCACUACUGUGCUGUUAAAUGUUGUUGUUUUAACAAAUAAGGUUCAAUACGUUAAUUAUUGUAGACUGUAAUUACUAGUGGGCAAGGCUUUAUUACUUUUCAAUAGAUAGAGGUUAACUGUUUUCUCAUACUGGCAGUAGUAUAUAUAUGUGCUAUAUAAAUAAAACUGAAUUGAAUUGAAUAGUAAUGCAAGCUAAGCAGCAUAUGCAUGAGUAUCCUGGAUAUGUUUUUUCAUAUUGUUUAUGCACCCAGCUGUAUGCUCUGUGCACAUUUUCAUUUAUCAGACAUUAAUCAACAACCAGUGAACUGAGCACAUAUUAAAGUCUGUCUUGUCUCAGGUUAGAGGGCCUCACCACUGCAAUCUGAGCUCAUUGCUAACAUUUCCACACUGUGUGUAUGUGAGAAUUGUUUGCGAACAUUACAAGGAACUUGUGUCAUUUGUAUUUGUGACUUUCUAAGAAUCAGAUUGUGAAACGGCAUUCAUGCCAUUGGUUCAAACAGGGAGCAAGCUUGAAUGUGAUUGGUUGAAAACAGCUGGCUCAUCAUGGUAUUUACCACAUCCUCUUGGAACAGUUUGCUAAUACAAAACACCAGCAGUUUAUCUUGAUGUUUGUUAUUCUUGAUGUCUGUGAAAUGUGUUUUAUGCAGCUCAGCAUUUUGUCAGCAAAUAGCUCCAUAAACAGAUUUAAAUUAAUCUGAUGGUAAUUUUAGGCAUUAUGCUUUGGAUGGAUUGGAUUGCCUGUUUAUGGUGAACGGAAGAGAUCUGGACUGAAGUCCAAGUCAUCACCAGACAGAAGAAAAGACAAGUUCACAAGAACAAAGAGAAGAAGAAUGCAUAUAGAACAAUACUCAUACUCUUGAAGCAUUUUUGUUGCUCGUACUGAGCAGGACUGUGUUCUGCUUUCAGUGUGAUGUGGAAGAAUAAAUCUUUUGAGU